AAAUUGAAGAGUUUGAUCAUGGCUCAGAUUGAACGCUGGCGGCAGGCCUAACACAUGCAAGUCGAACGGUAACAGGAAGCAGCUUGCUGCUUCGCUGACGAGUGGCGGACGGGUGAGUAAUGUCUGGGAAACUGCCUGAUGGAGGGGGAUAACUACUGGAAACGGUAGCUAAUACCGCAUAACGUUGCAAGACCAAAGAGGGGGACCUUCGGGCCUCUUGCCAUCGGAUGUGCCCAGAUGGGAUUAGCUUGUUGGUGGGGUAACGGCUCACC
This 272-nucleotide ribosomal RNA is filed under the name Escherichia coli. RNAcentral describes it as "partial 16S ribosomal RNA". It matches the Rfam family "Bacterial small subunit ribosomal RNA", at positions 1 to 269 of the family's 1533-position model. Lineage: Bacteria; Pseudomonadati; Pseudomonadota; Gammaproteobacteria; Enterobacterales; Enterobacteriaceae. The record is from RNAcentral. RNAcentral also lists the same sequence under 1 other name.